UUGACACAAUAAUCACCAAAGGCUCUAGACAUUGCCAGCCCCGGACAUUCCUCAUUCGGAAGCCAGACUCUGUGCACUCCUGGCUCAUCUUCUAAACAGAAGACCCGUCCCUUGCAUUGAAUUAUCCGCUCAGCUUCGUCUGCAAAUACAAUCAAGAAUAAUAUAAACAACUCAUGAUUUUUUUUUUUUUUGUGUUGGAGAGAGAGAGUGUGUGUGUGAGAGAGAGAGAGAGAGAGAUACAGACAAGGUAAGUUGGGCUUGAAAUCAACUGUUAGCUGAACUGGAACCAAGCUUCCAUCUUCUGAAGUGGUGGCUAAUACAGCUCGUGAGUCGCCAACAUUAGCAACCAUUAUGAAUUCACCCUG
Molecule: long non-coding RNA, 365 nt
Filed under: Citrus maxima (pomelo)
Lineage: Eukaryota; Viridiplantae; Streptophyta; Magnoliopsida; Sapindales; Rutaceae
Description: long non-coding RNA (CMAX_LNC000969)
Source: RNAcentral